GGAUUAGAUACCCUGGUAGUCCACGCAGUAAACGAUGAGUGCUAGAUAUUAUAACUACAGUUUUAGUGUCGAAGCUAACGCGUUAAGCACUCCGCCUGGGGAGUACGGUCGCAAGAUUAAAACUCAAAGGAAUUGACGGGGACCCGCACAAGCGGUGGAACAUGUGGUUUAAUUCGAUGCUACGCGAAAAACCUUACCAAGUCUUGACAUAGUGGUCGUAUGAUUAAGAAACUAAUCAGUCAUCAGUUUACUGGAUGGACCACAUACAGGUGUUGCAUGGCUGUCGUCAGCUCGUGCCG
This 299-nucleotide ribosomal RNA is filed under the name uncultured bacterium. RNAcentral's name for it is "partial 16S ribosomal RNA". It matches the Rfam family "Bacterial small subunit ribosomal RNA", at positions 775 to 1067 of the family's 1533-position model. The record is from RNAcentral.